UGGGGAAUAUUGCACAAUGGGGGAAACCCUGAUGCAGCGACGCCGCGUGAGCGAUGAAGUAUUUCGGUAUGUAAAGCUCUAUCAGCAGGGAAGAAAAUGACGGUACCUGACUAAGAAGCACCGGCUAAAUACGUGCCAGCAGCCGCGGUAAUACGUAUGGUGCAAGCGUUAUCCGGAUUUACUGGGUGUAAAGGGAGCGUAGACGGAGUGGCAAGUCUGAUGUGAAAACCCGGGGCUCAACCCCGGGACU
RNAcentral lists this ribosomal RNA (250 nucleotides) under uncultured bacterium. RNAcentral describes it as "partial 16S ribosomal RNA". It matches the Rfam family "Bacterial small subunit ribosomal RNA", at positions 355 to 622 of the family's 1533-position model. The record is from RNAcentral.